Molecule: ribosomal RNA, 253 nt
Filed under: uncultured bacterium
Lineage: Bacteria
Description: partial 16S ribosomal RNA
Rfam family: Bacterial small subunit ribosomal RNA
Source: RNAcentral
UACGUAGGGCGCCAGCGUUGUCCGGAAUUAUUGGGCGUAAAGAGCUCGUAGGCGGUUUGUCGCGUCUGCUGUGAAAACCUAAGGCUCAACCUUGGGCUUGCAGUGGGUACGGGCAGACUAGAGUGCGGUAGGGGUGACUGGAAUUCCUGGUGUAGCGGUGGAAUGCGCAGAUAUCAGGAGGAACACCGAUGGCGAAGGCAGGUCACUGGGCCGCAACUGACGCUGAGGAGCGAAAGCAUGGGGAGCGAACAGG